Molecule: ribosomal RNA, 253 nt
Filed under: uncultured bacterium
Lineage: Bacteria
Description: partial 16S ribosomal RNA
Rfam family: Bacterial small subunit ribosomal RNA
Source: RNAcentral
UACGUAGGGGGCAAGCGUUGUCCGGAAUUAUUGGGCGUAAAGAGCUCGUAGGCGGUCUGUCGCGUCGGCUGUGAAAUCCCGGAGCUCAACUCCGGGUCUGCAGUCGAUACGGGCAAACUGGAGUACUGCAGGGGAGACUGGAAUUCCUGGUGUAGCGGUGAAAUGCGCAGAUAUCAGGAGGAACACCGGUGGCGAAGGCGGGUCUCUGGGCAGUAACUGACGCUGAGGAGCGAAAGCGUGGGGAGCGAACAGG